AGGGUGUGGCCAAGAACGCCCCUCUCGAGUUCCAGAACACCAAGCUCAUGACCCGUCUCACCUACACCCUCGACGAGAUCGAGGGUCCCUUCGAGGUUACACCUGACGGAACGGUCAAAUUCGAGGAGAAAGACGGGAUCGACUAUGCUGCUGUGACGGUUCAGCUUCCCGGGGGUGAGCGUGUGCCGUUCCUCUUCACCAUCAAACAGUUGGUGGCCACUGGGAAGCCAGAAAGCUUCAGUGGGGACUUCCUUGUUCCCUCUUACCGAGGUUCCUCUUUCUUGGACCCCAAGGGAAGGGGUGCCUCAACCGGUUAUGACAAUGCUGUUGCUCUGCCUGCUGGUGGCAGAGGAGAUGAGGAGGAACUUGCGAAGGAGAACAACAAAAGUGCUUCAUCUUCCAAAGGGAAAAUCACCUUGAGUGUGACCAAGACCAAGCCAGAAACUGGAGAGGUUAUUGGGGUGUUCGAGAGUGUUCAGCCUUCUGAUACUGAUUUGGGGGCUAAAGCUCCUAAGGAUGUGAAGAUCCAAGGUGUCUGGUAUGCUCAACUUGAGUCAUAGACAUGUUUUUUAUGCUGUAAUUCUAUUUUCUUGUAACUUGUUAAGAAGCACUCAGAGCAUUACCUUGUGUGUAUAUUAUAACGACUUCGAUUAUAAUAAUGUCUAAAAUUAAAAUCUCUCUUUACCUUUUCGACCAUUCAUACUCACUUGUACAAAUGUCUGUUUCUGGUUGCCCCUGAGUGCUUCUUGUUCGAACCUAGCUUAGGUUGUAGGAAACAAUCGCGUUUUCUACAAAGCUGUGCAAAAUAAGCGAUUAUUUCUCAAACAUAAACGGAAUGAUAUGUUGGAGAGUCUCUCAUGAAACCCGAGGUUGGAUCAGUGUCCUUGAUCUUGAUGUAUGAAGUUUGGAAACUCAUCUUAAAUGGUGUCUACGAUUAUCUUAUACUCCUAUCGAACGCCGAUACUCGCAUGACACCGGUAGGACACGUAUCUGGGAAGUGUCAAAUUCAAAAAGUAUUUGUUAAAUUUAUGAUAUUUCUAGGAUGGUUUUAACACAAUUUAAAAAAAAAAAUUAAUUUUUUCAAAAUUCAAACUUUACUGUAUAAAUUGUUAUUAUGAUUAUAAAAAUAAGAAACAAAUUCUUGUGAACCAGUCAUGAAAAACAUCUUUCUGUUCCAAAAAAUAAUUUGAAACAUACUUAUGCAGAUAAAUCUUUAUUGUCAAUUUAUAUAAUAAUUAUAUAAUAUAUAUCCGUGUUCCCGUGUCUUACAUUUUAGAGAUUUUACGUAUCUAUGUGUGUCCGUGUCGUAUCAGUGUCCGUGUUACUGUUUGUUUGUGUAGGUGUUAUUACUUUCCUACUUGGAAUGAUUGGGGGAUUCACGACACGAGAAAACUCAUUUCAACCUCUGCUCUGUUUUAGAAAAGAAUGGAGAAAAGUAAAGCUGAAACCUGAUUUUAGACUGAACCUUCCGCACUUUAUAUACUAUAUAUUGUGUUAUUAAACUGUUACGAUUAAACUAUUGAGUCUUAUAAGCAUUUUGGCGAUACAGCAACUGAAUUUGCUUGAUAAACAUGAAUCAGUGGAAGAAUGAUAAAAGGUAAAGAGAGAGAGAGGUUCUAUGGUGCUAUUCACCGAAGUUCAUUUUUUGAGUAAUAUUUUCAUCGCAACUCAACUUGUAUGUGACCUGUUUAUUUUUAUAAAACAUUAUCUCCUAUUACAUGAUUUUAAGAAUAAGAAAAAAAAAGAAAAAGAAAUUUGUGAAUAGGAUUUUAUUGAGUUUUAAAAUUAUUGUGUUGGGUUCAUAUUAAAGCUAUUUUUUUUAAGAAAAUUGACAUUAUUAUUUAUAUUGAUUACGAAAAAAUUUGGUCACCAUAUUAAUUAAUGAGGAAAUUAAAAUGAAUAUAAUCCUAAAAUUUAAAUAUUAAACAAAUUAUUGAAUUAUAUUAUUUUCAUAUUAAAUCUUUCUAUUGUUCUUACUUUAUAGUUUAGUAAAAUAUAUAAAAAGUAAGAUUCGGUUGAUUCUCAGGAGAAUUAUUCAUGAUGAGUGAGAUAUUACUCACUUAUAAUGUACAAAUACAAGUAAUUAACUAUGAAUUUUUAAGGGAACUGAUGGCAAAACGCACCUUGUAUGAACAUUUUAGUAUUCACUUCGUUCAUACAUACUUAUGUAUGUAUAGUAAACAUUUAGACCUGCUCCUUUUACGCUUCAAACAUGAAAAAGUUAUAACAAAUAUUGCAAUAAUCAAUUUAUUUCAACUGUGAUUGUGUUUGAUUAAUCAUUAAUUCUCAUUUUAUUAUUUAGUUUUAAAUGGUAUUACGUUUCGAAAACAAUAUUUACUCCUGAGAGGUAGAAUUAGUAAAUUUUUCAUUCUGCAAUGGAUGAAACAAUCAUUUGCAGUUACUUAAGAGUUAUUAAUCUUGAUUUUACAUGAUUAAUCAGUUUAGUGUAGCAAUCUGAACCACUCCUUGUGUUUUCCCAGAGAAAUAAUUAUGUGUUUUUUUUAAUUAAUUUUGAAAUGUGGGGUUUGAUUUACCCGUUUUCUAAAAUUUAGAAGUUCAAAACGAAGCUGACACACGAAAUGAGACCAAACUGGAACAAUACAAUAUUUUUGAAUUAAAAACAGAAAAAUGAAUACAUAGGAUUGACACAAGAACCUCGGGUAGUACUAGGUUUGAUACUUCUAUUUCAUGUUAUCCACUCUGAAACUGAAACCCGCGACCAUUGGUUCCCGCCUUUUUUGCGUUGGCUCUCUACAAACACAAAUCAGCAAAACCAUAUGGCACAAGUUGAAGUCACCCACUCACCAAACCCUUCACCAUCUCCUGGAUCAAAGUUCCUCCUUGAGACAACUCAAGAUUGUGCAUGCCCAGCUCAUUCUCCAUGGACUUGCUGCCCAAGUUGUCACCCUAGGCAAGCUAGUCUCCCUUUGCGUUCAAGAGGGAGAUCUCCGUUAUGCACACCUCCUGUUCGAUCAAAUUCCCCAACCCAAUAAAUUUAUGUACAAUCAUUUAAUAAGGGGCUAUUCGAAUAUCGAUGACUCAAUAAACUCUUUGUUGCUCUACCGCCAAAUGGUAAGGGCGGGCCUUAUGCCAAACCAAUUCACCUUUCCCUUUGUUUUCAAAGCUUGUGCUGCCAAACCCUUCUACUGGGAAGCUGUUAUUGUUCAUGCUCAGGCCAUUAAGCUCGGAAUGGGGUAUAAAGCCUGUGUGCAAAACUCAAUUUUGGCUGUCUAUGUUGCUUGCCGUCUAAUACCAAGUGCACGGCAAGUGUUUGAUGAUAUUUCUGACAGGACUCUGGUAUCCUGGAAUUCUAUGAUAGCGGGGUAUUCUAAAAUUGGCCAUUGUCAUGGUGCAGUUAUGUUGCUGGAAGAAAUGCAACAUCAGGGAGUACAGCCUGACGUGUUCACCUUUGUUAGCUUGCUUUCUGUUUCCUCAAAGAAUGGUAAUUUGGAUUUGGGAAGAUUUGUCCAUCUUUAUAUCAUUACUACUGAUGUUCAAAUUGAUUCAAUUGUGACCAAUGCCCUGAUAGAUAUGUAUGGCAAGUGCGGGAAUUUGCAAUAUGCUAAACGUGUUUUUGAUCGAAUGCUUGAUAAAAACGUUGUCUCUUGGACAUGUAUGGUGAAUGCUUAUGCUAAUCAUGGUCUUAUUGAUAACGCUGUGCAAAUGUUUAAUCAGAUGCCAGUGAAGAACGUGGUUUCUUGGAAUUCAAUAAUUUGGUGCCAUGUUCAGGAAGGGCUUUACACGGAAGCUAUGCAACUUUUCUACAGGAUGUGUAUUUCAGGUGUGAUUCCUGACGAUGGUACUCUUGUUAAUAUUCUUUCAUGCUGCAGUCACAUGGGUGAUCUGGCAUUGGGAAAACAAGCCCACAAUUACAUCUGUGGUAAUAAUAUUACAGUGAGUGUGACGCUUUGUAACUCCCUAAUAGACAUGUAUGCAAAAUGUGGUGCUCUUGAUACUGCUAUGGACAUCUUCUUUGGGAUGCCUGAGAAGAAUGUGGUGUCAUGGAACGUUAUUAUUGGGGCACUUGCUUUGCAUGGUUUUGGAGAAGAGGCAAUUGAGAACUUCAGGAGGAUGCAAGCUAGUGGGCUGUGUCCCGAUGAGAUUACCUUCACAGGGUUACUUUCAGCUUGUAGUCACAGUGGUCUUGUGGACAUGGGGCGAUAUUACUUUGACACAAUGAGUUCUACAUUCGGGAUUUCUCCUAAUGUUGCACAUUAUGCAUGCAUGGUUGAUCUUUUAGGGCGUGGGGGAUUCAUAGGAGAAGCAAUGACCCUGAUACAAAAGAUGCCUGUUAAACCUGACGUUGUCGUUUGGGGUGCUCUGCUUGGUGCUUGCAGGACCUAUGGAAAUCUGGAGAUUGCAAAGCAAAUCAUGAAGCAGUUGCUGGAGUUGGGACGAUAUGACUCUGGGCUUUAUGUGCUUCUCUCAAACAUGUAUUCGGAGUCUCAAAGAUGGGAUGACAUGAGAAAGAUCAGGAAAAUAAUGGAUGACGGUGGGAUACAGAAGUGUAAAGCGAUUAGCUGCAUUGAAAUUGAUGGCUGUUGCCAUCAAUUCAUGGUGGAUGACAAAAGACAUCUUACUUCAGCCAGUAUAUACUCCAUGCUGGAUCAAUUAAUGGAUCAUCUAAAGUCUGUUCAUCUCUGUAAAUCUUUUGAUGUGGUUGACAUAUACUACUCUGGCAAUCUUCAGUAAUUCAGCAACAAGUUUGAUGGAUGGAAUAGUAACAUCAUAAAAAAAAUAAAUUAUGAUAUAUUGAUAAUUUAUAUUUUUUCUACUUUUAUAAACAACUCUUAAUACUAUUAUUUUAAUUAUUUUUUAUAUUAUUUAAUUAUAAAUUUAUUUUUAUUAUAUUUUAUUUUGUUAAAACUUUCACAUCAAAGUUGUGUGAUAUUUAAAAAAUAUAAUUUUUCAAAAUUAUCAUUCCCUUCCAAUUCCAAUGACAUCUUCUGUUGAAAAAAACAAACAAAAAGGUUAACUUUUUUUCAUAUAUAUAAAUUAUAAGCCAUCAUGAUAUUAGGAGACUUCCUUUAAGCCGUGUUUGUUUCCGGCUAUUUCCGUGGAAAAGAAAGUGAGUACUCCCCCUAUCUGUAUCUAAUGAUUUACGAAUAAAGAAGAGAUCGAUCAUUUUUGGGAGAAAGGUGUUUCAUCUCAACUUUUAAGAUGUGAAGAAAUUACGAGUUAAUAGUUGGCAUUGGAACCAUAAGGUUAAAAUUCUUCAUAAGAAGGAACAUUAUGAAAAUGUGAGGUUGAGAGGUGCAUGAUGAUUACAAGACUUGUUAAAGAUGAAGAUAGAGAAACACCGAAUGUAGAAGUUCAAUUUGGAUGGUUAAUAGCUGUUUAGUUGUGAAAAAGUGGUGGCAAUGCAAGUUAGUUUAAAACAAAACUAUAAAGCAACUUCAAUAUUCUCUCAAUAAUGGUGCGAAAUUGGAGUGAGAGGAAUGGUAGGUAAAGAGGGAGAAACUAUCUUAUUGCAUAUUAUUAAAAAGACGAUAUUGUUUUUCUCCUUUACCUGUGUAGAAUGAAGGAAUGUUAAAGAGCAUGUUGCAGGUUUAUUGAGAAGUGCGGUUAGUGUUGAGCAAAUGAUCAGAGAUGGGUCACCAAAUUUUACAUAUAAAAGGAGCAAACACACCUAUCUGGAUUUAUGAGUUCUUGAAUUUUGUUUAUUAUGUUUGUUAGAUCUGGUUUGUAAGCAUGUAUCUGGCUGGGAUGACUUUCAUAACAACAAAAUUAAUAUGUAUAAUAUGUCCUGCAAUGUGGGUGUAAUGUGGGUCACCACAUACUACCACCAUCUAAGUUGAGUGAAUUUUGUGCUUACUUAACUGCCCUACACAUUUGGCCUCUAAAACCCUGAUUUAACUCACUUUUUCCCUACUUCUUUGUAUAUUCUAAUUCUAUCCAAUUGCCCUUCUUUGUGUAUCCUAACAUACUACUAUGAAAUAAAAUACUACAUUAACAUAACAGUCAAAUAUAGAGCCACCAAGUAACCACAACAUGAAAUACUAAAAUAGAUUGUCUUAAGUGUGUGUGCAAGAAAUUGACUUUGGCCCAUACAAGACUCAACACAUGGCAAAUAACAGGGAUCGCACAACACAAAUCACACAACAUGAAUGUUUCAUUUAAUAAAGAAAUUAAUAGAAAAUGUAUUACAUUUGGUCACUAAUCCUUAAACUCAACCACCAUGAAAAGAGAUGCACAAGUGAUGAACGGUAGAAGAGAAGGUAGAGAAGAAAGCUUAAGAAGAAGGUGGAAGAGUAUACGCACAAUACUAGAGAACUGAACGACAACAACAAGUCACUGAAAAAUAAAAAAAAUAGUAAAAGAAGAUACUAAUAUGAAGAAGAAGAACAAAAAAAAGAAACAAACUGAAAAACAAUACAACUAAACAUAGUCUCAAUUUGUUAUACUCUAAUUUCACAUUAUAACCCUUCCACCCAAAUGUUAAAUAUUUUCAAAAUAUUUUCGCAGAUCCCACCAUUACAAAUAAAAUAUCAUUAAUUUUGUCACGGUUGUACGUGGAGCAACUCUGUGACGUUGUUCAAAUAUCGGGACUCUUUACUCAUACCAAACCAAUGAUUAUUUAAAGUAGCAUGGGAGGGAGCUUCAAGUCUUCAACAUUCAUAUACUUAUAAAUCAAAAGGAACCCUAAAAAAAAUCCUCCUGUCUAAUAAUAAGUGUAUAUAAUAUUGCAGUAUAUUUAUGCAGCAGGACCAAAUUAGUUGGAUUUGGAAGCACCCAAGUGUCGGCAACCACAAAUUAAGCAUGAUAAUGUGGAGUGUUUUGUAUUUGGACUUAAAAGCAUACCAUAAACAACAAUACUAAUCUUUGUUGUUUCAGUGUAUUAGAUUUUUAAGUCCCAUGACAUUAUGACAAUUUUUAUAUGCCUUUUUUUAUAUGUUUUGGGAUAUUCGAUUCGUUGGCGUGCACAAAUUUUGACCUCUCAAAAUAUAGGAGACUUUUUAAAAUGGUCAAUUGAAGAGUACAAAAUGAGUACAAAUGCCCCAAUAUGAAAUCUGCGAAACCAUGCAUUAUAAUUUAUAUUCCUUCAUUCAAUGCAUCCUUCGCACAUGACCAAUCACAUACUAAAGGUACUUCCACGGAUCUCUAGCUAACACCCUCCUAAGACCACCGUCGCCAAAUAAUAAACCAAACCAAAAGACAAAACCAAAUUAUUCAGUGCUGUUAUCAAAUAUAUUUCGCCAAAAGCUAAAAACAAAAUUAUGUUAAGGACCAUUUUAAAAUGUCUUCAAAGAUUUUUUGUUGAAACACACAAUACAUAUCCUUCAGGUACAUGAUUCUAUAUUCAAGAUUAUCAAAUAUUAUUGUUUGCUUAAUAUUUUAACUCUUAAAAAUAUCUGUAAGCUAGACAUUUAAUAAAAUGUGUCUCUUAAUUAAUUGAGGAAUUUACAGAGAUAUAAAAUAAAUAUUUCACCAGUUUCUUAAACUGUGGGCAAACAUAUAGUUUAAGAUUUCCUAUAUUUAGGACAUACGUAAGGAGUGAUUUUCUCCAAUCAAACCGCCAGUUUUCUAAGUUUAUAGUUGAAUCUUAAUCAAGCAUUCAAUUAUGAACGCGUUAAAUAAAUGAGAAAACACUUACUGGAAAAUAUGUGUUACAUUAAUCAUUAAGGAGUUCUAGAAAAACAACAUAAGAAUCUAAUUGCAUGUAUAAUAGCAAGAGGGAAGCUGAAGAAGAUCUCCAUGAAAAAUUUGCAGCAAAAUUUAGGAUGAGUCUCUCUACACUAGUAUAUAUUUCCUAUACUUUAUGAUGUAAACACAUAUAAGAAAAUAAAAACUUAUUCUUUCGUCUUACCUAUAAACCAUAACCCUAAACCUAAAAUAUGUAUAUCUAACCUCAUGUUAAAAUACUUAGUUACAUUCAAAAAGAAAUCAAUGAGAAUAUAUAAAAAUGGACCAAGGCAAUGUUGUCAUCUCAAAAUCAUCAACAAAUAGCAUAUUCAUUUGAAAAAAUGAUAGGAAAAUGUAAUUUAACGUAAUACAAUAUUAUUUAAUUUAAAAAAUAAGAAAUUAAAAUUUAAAAAAAAAUCAUUUAAAAGAAUCUCUAAAGUCAGUUAACUUCAUUAAAUGAUAUUAAAUGUUAAAUAAUUGAGGUAGGUAGCAUUUGUCCUUUAUAAAUUUUGUGUGGCCAUUGAUUCUUCUCUCACUCCCCCACCAUUAUUAAUUCAUGCCGGAAACGUGCCACAAUACUUCCAAUUCAACCUUCAAACUUUGUAAAUGGUGAAAGGAACACUGGAAAUGGAUUUUGCUCAAAUGUGUACUUUUAGUAAUUUGUGAACCACGUUUAAGCUCAGAAUAAGAAAUUGCAAUAUAUCGUUAUAAGCUCUAAAAUAGAAGAGUUCAAUCAAUGUACAGAGCAGUUUCAAUAUAAACUAAGAUUAUGGUGACUGGGACACUAUCAGCAAGUACAAGUCAUUUUCAAGAAUAAAAAAAAUACACAAUGCCUUUUCACAAUUAUUGAUUGGAUUCUCUUUUCACCUAAAAUAAUAUCACAGUCUCAGUUACAGUAUAGUUGUAACGCAUGAAAUUCCUUGCAAAGAAAGAGAAAAGACGCAACAAAUUCUUCCACUUCUGUUUGUUGUGAUGGGAUGGAAGAGAACUGUGAAUGAAAUCUAGAAAAUAAAAAAUCGAGACCUGUGGUGUAGAAUUUUUUCUUCGAGUCUAGUGAAAAAAAAAAAGGAAACUUACUAUUCAUGUAUAUUUAUGGUUGGUUUUCUAAAGAGUUUUUACAAAGCUUUAUUAGUUGAAAGUAUAAUUAAUCAUGCUACGUGUAUUUAUGUUAAUUGUUGAAGUACAUAUUAAAUCUUAUUUAAUCAAUGUAAAAACUCACACGCAACAAUGCACCCUUAAUUUGUUAUGUUUUUCCAUAAUUGGUUAACUCCAUGUUAAGUAAUUCAUUAAAUUAACACGUACUUGUUUCUUCUUCUUUCUUUUCUUCUCACCUUCCAAAUACAAUGUUAGAGUGGUGCACAAAAGAAAAAUAAAGAAGGAACUAAGAGUAAUAUAAAAUAAUAAAAUUUAAAAACAUAAGAGAAUUAAGAUAAAACUUCAAUUGAUAAUAAUUGUUGGAUCUGUUGGAAUCUCACGUCGACAAGAGAUUAAAACAUUUCAUUGUAUAUAAGUGGGUGCAAAGCUUAACCUUAUGAGUCGAUUUUAUGGGAUUGAGUUAGGUUUAAAGUCUACUUCUUAAUAAUAAUCCUUCCAUCGCAAUACUUUUUUAGAAGAAUGAAUAUUUUUAAUGAAAAGAUUGAAAUCAAAUUUAAAACCCGAUCUAAUUGUGAACUUACAUAUUAAAAAAAAAGUAAAAAACUAAUAAAUCAACGAAUUUAUUAUGGGGUCACAGUUUUGAAAAAGGUGUAAAAGGAAUAGGAUUUUGAAAAAGAAAAUGGAAAGUAUUUGAAGUGGACCUUGUUUCACGAUAUAGAGCAUGAUUGAGUGGGGAAGGGAAUUAGUGAAGAAGCUUCAUAGUAUGGUUUGAGAGUGGGUCAUGUGAAGAGCAUAAUUAUUAACAUAACAACCAAAUAUUGUAAAGGAAGAGAAAGACAAGUCCUUUUGAACAACAUCAUGGACCUCCAAUUUACUCACAUACAUUGGAAAAAAGAUCAUUUCGCUUUAGAUCCCCACCGAGACCAACAUAAAAGGAGGCACCAAUGUACUUUCCUUUACUUCGUUGAGAAGAAUUUCUUGAUUAGAUUAAGCAUAACAUUCAAGAAAUAGUCAAGUAAAUGAAUGAAGGUAGUUGUUAUUCUUAACUACUGUAGCAUGUUUGCUGUCACUAUGAAAAAUAAAACAUAAUAACAACACAGGUUAAUUACUUUUACAUAAAAUAAAAAAUAUUGGAUCCUGAUAAAGGAGCAAAAAUAGUAGCAGGAAUGGGUUAUGGUGCCUGGUGAAGCUGCAGGGGGUUGGGGCCUGGGGGUUCAACCGAGAUCAUCUUACGCCAGAUUCUGUCGGAGUGUUUCUGCUUCUGCAAUCUUACUUUGUUGUUUAUCAAUUUUAAUUUUUUUUUUAUGUUACACUUUAUUAUCAAUCAUUGAUAUUAUUGUUUUAUUUGUCUGAUUUACUAUUCCCAAUGCCUUUUUCCUUCACGUGGCUUCCUAGCUGCCUUGCAGCGAGGCACCAUACACUUCUCCACCUGCCACGUCUUUUUCUCACGCCAAUCUCCACACACUUGGGUAUUCCAAUUAUAUGUUACACACAGCUUUUGAUACUGUGCAACUUCAUCGACCAUGAAAUUACGUAUUGGUGAAUGAAGAUGGCACUCAAAUCAACAUUAGGCACGAGGUAGUAGUAGUAAUAUGGACCAAGUGGUGUCUAAUUUUCAGCAUGAAAUCGCAAAAAGCGGGGAUCUCUUUCCUCUUACCACGAACUGUUUUGUUUUUUAACACCGAAGAAAAACAGAACACUAAAGUCGGUCUGCCAAAUCUCUCAACAUCGUCAUUAUGAAAUAAAGUGGUCAUAAUGCACACAGCGACUAGCGAGAGAGGCAGAGAUUUAUUUUCACGUGUUGGAACAAUAGCAAACGACAAAAGAAAUAAAAUAAGAAAAACACGAUGCAUAGUUUAUUUAGGAUUAUCCUCCUGUCAGAAAGCAAUGACGUGCGAUGCAUCACACACAUCUGAGUCCCCUUCUAUACAGUUUAUUUACGAUGAAGUAAUGAUGUGAUUCUUCACUAAUGAAAAAUUUGAGUGAUUAAUUUUGGUUGGAGGCGUGUGAAUGGGAGCAACAUUUAGCAUAUGGCAUUUCUGAAUAUGGCAAACUUUAGCAUCCUGUCUUUGUUACAUUAAUUUUUGGCGUCCCAGGAUUAAGCUGAAAAGGGGGAAGAUUAUGGAAGGUUUGGUGAGUAAGUGAGGGUGAAAAAAACACCGCCCCCACGAGAUUUCACGUGAUGUGGUUGCCCUCACAUUUUUAUUCAACUUGCUUUCGAUUCAAACUGAGCCAAAACAAAGGCAGUGGCAUGAGUGGUAAAUAUAUUGAGGAUCUGGAGAAUAGGGUCAGUUUGGCACACUAAUGCGAGCAAGUACUACAACCUGUCAGCACCAACUUACAGCCUGGAAAGCCAUUCCCACUGUUCCAGAAUUGCAUAAUUAAAUUAAUUCCGGAUCCGACGUGGCAAAGUACUCCAUUUCGCUUCCUAUAUAUAUAUUCUUCUUUCUUUUCCCUCUUUCUCCAAACAACAAAUCACCCCAAUUCCCGAUUCCGCUCUCACCGAGUCACACCCACCGUGCUCACUCAGUCACCUCAAUGGGAAACUGCAACUCCUCCGAUUCAACGCAGGUUGCCACGGCCAAGCUUAUUCUUCAAGACGGAAAGUUGCAGGAGUUCUCAUAUCCGGUCAAGGUGUCCUUCUUGUUGCAGAAGUACCCCGCGUGCUUCAUAUGCAACUCCGACGAAAUGGACUUUGACGACGUCGUUUCGGCCAUCGACGAGGACCAGGUCCUUCAACCCGGUCAGCUCUAUUUCGCGCUUCCCCUCAGUCGCUUGAAGCACCGCUUGCAGCCUCACGAGAUGGCCGCAUUGGCCGUCAAGGCCAGCUCCGCUCUCAUGAAAACCGCCGACAAAUGCGGCUCUCGCCGCAAACAGAUUUUGUUAUCUAACGAAUAUGACUCUAAUCCUAAGCGUGUUUCUCCCGCACUCGCUGUCGGCGCUGGAACUGUACAUAGGAGAGGUAGGGCCACCGCCUCCGCCGGUAAGGGGAGGUUUGCGGCGUUGUUGAGUUCCAUUCCGGAGUUGGAUAGUUUCUGAAGAGAAUAUAUGCUUCGGUGAUCUCGUUGGUUUGUACAUAAACAGCUUUAUCACAAGGAAAAAAAAAAGUAAUAUAAAAUUUUGGACAUUGUAGAGUUGUUUUAGGAACAAUGGAAACUAUUGGAUUCUGGAGAGUUGGACCAAGUCAUUAUGGAUAUUCAUUCGUAUUCCCUUUUAUUCUGUCUCCUCAUAUUAUUAACACGAGAGUCCCAUUUUAUGUUUUGACUGCAAAAUCGCAUGUCGCAGCAUGAGAAUACAUUUUUGUAGACCUUUUCAUUCUUCUUACGACAUCAAGUUAUUUAGGUCAUGAAAAUUAUUUAUUUAUUAUUUUUUUAUUCACACGGUCAAAAAUGUGUUCAAUUAAGUUCAACUAGAAAAUUUGUUUUGAUUAAUUUAGUUUCAAUUAAACUUUUUUUUGACAAACUUAAAUCAGAGUUUUUUUUAUUUCAGAAAUUGGUAUCUUUUUAACUUAAACCAACAAAUUGUUGGUUAAGAAACGAAAUUAUUGAAGAACAGUAACAUUGGUGUGAAGACUGAGACAUAUACUAACUGCCAUGAGGAAUUAAUUUAUACGGGACGUAAUAUAUUUUCAUUUAAUGAAAGUAAUGUGAUUGUGUGUAUUAUUAUGCAAUGAAGAUAAAGAUGGGGUGUGUUGCGACAAAAGUAGAAGGUGGUAGUGGACAGCAUAAGAAACAGAAAGCAGGAAUGAGGUGAGAUUAUGAAUGAAUUUGAGAAGGAUAGUGAAAUGAAAGAAACGACGAAAUAGAUCUAUUUGGGAUGAAAGGGUUAAACAAGUUAUGAUUGAAUGGGUUGACGAGUAACCUUAUCCUUAUCCGAUCCUCAGGCAUUUGUUAUAUGGUUAAAUUCCAAAGAGAUGGGACAAAGAAAUAUAAUUAUGCAUGUAAUGUGUUCUUUCCUGGUUUUGGACUUUUUCAUAUGGACCCAAUUCCUGCAAGCUGAAAGAAAGUUGAGGCUAUUAUAUUUAAUACCACUAUGUAUAUAUAAUUAAGUAAAGAUAACAAUAAUUUGAUGGAGGGUGAGACUGGGACGUGGACAAUAAAUAGACACUAGAGGGAUGAAUGUUGAAGAGAAUGGAGAAUUGAAGAAGAAAUCUUGGUUGAGCCAAUGAAAUAUCCCAUUUUGUGCGUGGUGUAGGUGAAGAAUCACGUAAGGAGUGUACAAAAUGGCAUAGAAAACACAGGGCAUGCUGGACCCAACAAAAACGAGUCAGAGUGAGCAGGUGGGGGUAUUGGGGUUUGGGUGAGUACUGUUUGUUUGUUAGGUUGUGGAAUUGUUUACAGCUGUAACAAGCCUGGUCGUACUGUAAUAAUAACACCACCAGAAAAAUCAUAUCAAUUUGGCUUCAGACUCAUCGUCACUCGUCGCAUAUGAGAUGAGUAGUGUGCUCUACAAAUGGGUCCUCAAACCAGCCUAGCCUCAGUCAAUGUGACUCAAUUCAAAUUAAUUUGAAGAAUAGAUGUUUCAUAACUCUCCUUGUGUAAACAUUGUUUGUUCAUGGAGAGUGCAGAAAUGUGCAGUUGCAGUGAUGAUGUGCAGGAGUUCCCAAAGAAAGUAGAUGGGUAUUGGGAAGGUGGUACGAAUAAAUGGUACCAUGACGACCACCAUGGGAAAUGUGAGGAGUGAGGAACCGAACCUGAUUAUGGGUUAGUUUCGACUUUGGAACAUGUUGUUUUUGUUUCGUCCAUUCCAUUUUUCUUCUAUUUUGUGCUGAUCUCAUUCCAAAGUUUGGCUACGUUAAUUACAUAUUAGGUUAUCGCUAAUUAAUUUCACAACAAGUUUAGGUUAUGGAGAAUGCUCUCCCUUCUACAACUGUCAUCUCUCAUGAUUUAUGACUUCCCUACCCAAACGCCAAAUCAAAUUUAAUUUCCAACAAUAUGUGCCCGCAUACCAUAAAUAUUUUCAACACUAAAAAAUAAUAUAAUAUUAAAGAUUCAAUUUUCUAAAUAACAUUUCCUUUUCUUUAGAGAACAUAAAUUAAUUAAGGAGAACACGAUAGAAAACGGGACUCACAUGGUCAGUGAAAUCUAGGUAAAUUUGACCUAGUAUAUAAAAAAGUGAUGGAGUACAUUGUUGCUGUUUCUGAUUAUUGGCUGUAAAGUUCCGUAGAACAGGUGAGAUGAAGUAAUUGUUUAUCACAUAUUUGCAAACUACUCCAAGUUUUAUUGAUUCAAUUUUCGAGACGAGUUUAAAGAGAAGAAGGCAACUUUUACUCUCUCAUUAUUAAGUCAAGUUUUCUAUAAGUGAUUUUUUAUCAAAGUUUCUGGUGGGAAUGCAAAGUUUUUAACUUUCUUUUUGGAUUUGCAGCUGGCAUCAUGACAACUGUGCUUGUAAAAUCAAUUGACGGUGUGACCUAUUUAGUUUAAUUAUAUUUGGCAAUGGAUGUUAUACUUAGGUAGAAUGUUUGAAUUUUACUUUAAAUUAAUAAAUUAUAAAUAUUCAGUUAUGUCAAUACUUUUUUCAAAAAAAAAUCAUUAAAUAAAAAUUAAUUUAAAAAAAAAUAUUAUUUUAUAUAUUAAAUCUAAAGCAUAAGUGAACUUUAGUUCUCUAUAGAAUAUCUGGAAUAACAUGAAUUUGAAACAUCUGUAAUUUUCAGUUGAAAGAUAAGGCUCUAGUAGAGGUAGAGAUAUUGAUGAAUGCUGUUUGAAGCUAAUGCAAGAGUAUUAUGAUAAGCUUUGUCCAAAAGAAUAUUAGAUUAUAUUUGUUUAGAUUUAAUAAAUCCCCUGCAUACUUUGAAAGAAUGACGAAGUUGAUUCAUUUAUCUUGAAAAGAGAUUUAUUGUUUAUUGUUUAUUAUCAUCCUUUUUUUUGUUUAUUGUUCAAAUGUUUGAUAAAUGUUAUACCAAUAAGAGAGCAAGAGGCUUCUUAAAAAGUUGGAUGAAAUGAUCAACCAAAAGCAAAGAAGAAAAUGCAUGUAUAUAAAUUAAUUUUGAAGUUGGGGUUAAAUAAUUUUACAAAAGUUGAAUUGAACAUAAAUUGAAAUUCAAACAUGUUCUUCAGGUAAACAUGUUUAAGCCUUUAUUAUUUGCCUUUUUAGGGUUUAGGUUUGAGUGAAGGAGGAAAAGUUGAGGGCAACACCUAUGGUUGGAGUUUUAGUAUUCCAGCAAAAGUAUAUAUACAUAAUUAUGAUAGGUGGUGUAGGUAGGUUAGAGAAAGUUUCAUUGCAAAGGAAAACCAGAUAAAUCAUUAAACGGAACAUAGUUAAAUUUGUAGGGUUGCAGAGUUGGAAAGAUGAUGAAGAAAGUAGCUGUUUUCUGUGUCUCCAGAUUCGCCCAUAGUAAACCAUACAACACUUUAUACUUUAUGGUAAAUUCAUUUUUAAACUUAUGAUUGUUUCAUUUUAAUUCUCUAUUCUUUUAAUUAUACUUUUUACUACUAUUAUAAAAUAAAAUAAAUAAGUUGUAUAAAGUUAAAGUAAAAUGAAAAUAUUACAAUUAAGAACUGAAUUAGGUUAACUUCAAUUUUUUGAUCUGUUUUCUGUCAGGUUACCAAUACUUAACCCUGGUUUUCCUAAUAGAAACAAACAUGGUUUUUAAAAAGACAUUUCUCUAUUUACUUCGAUCCAAACUUUUUUCAAAUUCUUUUUUAUUAUAUAUUGGGUGAUCUUCCAAGUUAAUUCUAGAAAGACAAAAUUAAGUUACAAUGCAAGAAAAGAUUGUGAAAACAACAUUUUGAUUGACUUGAGCUAGCAUAGAUUUAACUUUAUAUUCUAUAAGGUUGCCACAUGCCAAAGAAAAAACCUUAAAAGUGUAAGUUGAGAGAGUGAAAUAUGCCAUUGGAUGCUGGUCAAGUGGUUUGAAUGUCAAUUAACAGUUAUGUGUAAUUGGUCCAGAACAUGAUCAAUGUUUAAAUUAUUAAUUUUUUUACACUAUCUUCUGAAUAAUGAAAAUAUAAGUAAAAUGAAGUGAAUUUAUUAUAAUAUUUCUUAAUAUUAAUUAUGAUUAUACUGGUCAUAAUUGAGAACACGAUAUCAAUAAUAAUUAUAUAAUCAUUUCAGAAUUUUUUUAAAUAAAUUUAGGAAAGUUCUUUCUAAAAUUUAUCAAGAUAUAAAUAAAUUUUAAAAUAUACAAAUAUAAGAAUUUUGUGUAUUAAUUGUUUUUGGCAUACAUGCUUUAGAAUGACUUUUUUUUUAUGUGUUUUGAAACACCACUUUAUAUAUACUUUUAUAUAUAUAUAUAUAUAUAUAUAAUUAAAUGUGUUUUGACAUACCAUUUCUAUAUUAUAAAUAGUAACAUCCCAUUAUAUAUAACAUAUAUUAUCACUAAUAAAAAAAAUCAUAAUAGAAACCAAUUUUUAGAGACAAAAAUAAUUAGUUGCAAUAGUUGCUAUUAUUUUGUAUGUAAUUUUUAGACAAAACCAUUUUAGAAACUAAAAAAAUGUUUAUAAAUUAGUUGCUAUUAUUGUUAAAUAGUUUUUAAAUUGGUAUCUAACUAGCAACCAAGGUUUUUCUACCAAAUUUAGAAACUAAAUAAUUUGUAGUUAAAACCUUAGUUGUUAAUUAGAUACCAAUUUAAAAAUUAUUUAACAAUAAUAGAAACUAAUUUAGAAACCAAUUUUUUUUAAAUGGUCUCUAAUUUAGUUACUAUUGCAACUAAUUAUUUUAAUUUCUACAAAUUCGUUUUUAUUUUAAGAUUUUCUUGUAGUGUAUAAACAUUGGAAUAUUUUGUUUUGAAAAUAAUAUGUAAAUAUUUAGUUCUAAAGAAAAUAGAAAUAUUUGUUUUUUAUGUUGUUUCAUACUCGUCAUGUCAUAUAAAUAUGCUUAUAAUAGUUUAUAUAAUUAUAGGGUUGAGCUAAUUUAAAGAUAAUUAUCAUAUAUAACUAGAUAUAUAUCAUUCACACCAUAAUAUUUACAUAGGAGAUAUAUGAUAAAUUACAAUUAAAUAAUUGUCAACUAAAAUGCAUGAAUUUAAUCAUAUACAUUCACUCGUAAAGAGCAAUUCAAAUUUGUAUGUAAUUUUAUAUUCUUAUUAUUUAUUUUAUUUUAUUUUAUUUUUAUUAUUAUCAUUAUUAUUACAAGAGAUUAAAUCCUUAAUAAAUAAUGAACUAAUCCAUGAAUAGACUGAAUUUGAUCAUCACUUUCUUAUCUUCUUAAAUCUGAGAGUAUAAGUAUCUUAAUUAUUUUUUAAACUUAUAGAGAAUUAAAUAACUGAAUUUUAAUCAAAUAAAACUAAAUAAUAUAUAUAAUUUAUUUUAAAAAAAUAUUCUUUAUAUAUUUAAAAUUUAUCUUUGUUGUAAAUGUUAUAUAAGUCAUGUUUUAAAACAGGGCGUACAAUAACAUGUAGUUUUUAAAAGAAGUUUGACGAUGGUUGUAAUUUUUACCAAAAGAAAUAUUAUAUAAAUAAAAUAAAAGUUUGUAUAAGAAUAAUAAUAAUGUUAAUGAUGACGAAAGAUAAAAUAAAGUUUGAAUGAAAAAAAAAAUAUAUGGAUUUUCUUACUUUGUAUUUUUCAUUAUAAGAACAAUCCGUUCUUACCAUUGAAAAUUUAUUCUCACUCCUAUUGGUAUUAUUCAGUUAUAAAACUUUGAGUAUUUGCGAAGUAUAAAACUCUUAAAAAAGUAAAGUUUGAUGGUUGUUCUAUCUUGAGGGACCAUAACUAUGCAACUUUUUCUAAUUUUAGUUUAUAUAUAUAUAUAAUAUAAUUAAAUACAUUUAACUAAUUUGAUAGUUUAGGUACCCAAACACUUCUUCUUUCUUUACCAUUUAUCAAUUUAACUUAAUUUUAUAAAAUUAACUUAUAAAAUAAAAUUUACCUCUAUUUAUUUAUUUAUUUUAAAAUAUUUUUAUUUCUAAUUAUAUGAUAUAUCUUAAACAACUCUCUUUGUCUCAAAUAAUAAGAAUGUAAUAUCGUUACAUUUGCUUCUUAAAGCCUUCGAAUUUGUAACGGCUUUUAGGUGUAGCUGCAUAUCAAACCGCUAAAAUUUAAUCCAUAACAUGCAUUACUUAUAAUUACUUAUAAGUAUAUGUUGUUACAAAAUGUUUUUAUCAUUUGUAAUAAUAUUACUCUUCUCCCAAGACUCCAAAUUAUUUUUUUUUUAUAAAAUAGGAUAUUUUUUUUUAUUUUUCUUAAAAGAGUGUGAAAAAUUGGUAUAAAUAUAUAAUGUUGAGAUAUUAUUCACAUUGUUCAUAAGUCGAGGUUAAAGGUAGUUUAAAUACUUCAUCAUCUCUCAAUUUAUUGAUGCAUCUUUUAAAGAUAAAACUGUGAAAAAAUACUGACUUUCAAAACAAAAAAAACUUUAACAAUAUUAUCUUUCCAACUUAAGUUUGAAACAUAAAAUGCUAUCUCUCUUAAACUUAUACUCCAAAAUUACACUGAUAAAAAUGAAAGUUACACAUUAAACUCUAAACCUAAAUAUUUACACUCAACUCUGAAAACAAACUUUCAUCCCCUUUACAUCUUUAAAUAGGCAUAUACGUUUCUCAUGUUUUUAAUAAAUUGUUUAUGUUCUUAAAAAUACUUACUUCCUUAUUUUAUUUAUGAAAAAUAUUUAUUUAUUGAAAAUUAUUUUGUUUUUAUAUUUUCAAGUUUUAAGUUUUAAGUUUUAAUUUUUAUAAUUUUUAUUUGUUUUAAUUAUUAUUUUAAAAUAAAAAUGUCGUUUUCUUAAAAAUAUGAGAAAAAUCAGUUUUAUUUAUUAAAAAAUAUAGGAAGGUGGAUGUUCAUUUAAAAGUUAAAAGAAGUCAUAAAUUUGUAUUGUAAACAUAAAAAAUAAAAGUUAGAAAAAAUAUUAUUGUAAACAUAAAAAAUAAAUUUUUAUUUUAAAUUUAGAGGAUACACGAAAUUUACUUAAAAUACAUGGAGGUAAUGAUUUUUUUUACUCUAUCUUAAUCCUCAACUAAAAUUAAAAGAAAAAGUGAAGCACUGUUUUUAUAAUCAAUUCAAUUUCAUAAAUUCAACAUCCACUUAAAUUAUCUACACCUAUAAAAUUGUUAGCACAUAAUCCUAUAUAAGUGCUGACCAAAAAAAAUAUUAAAUAUGAACAUAAGUUUCAAAUAUUCUUAAAAUGAUGAUUAAGAAAAGAGAGAGGAGUAAUGAUCCAUGACGCAAAAGAUGAAUGUUACGGGAACAUAAAUAAAACUAAAAUGCUAUAAUCUAUAAUCGUACGACUUUUAACAAGUCUCAUGGUAGAAUGAGCCUAACACUGUUGCACCCUUCACCACAUAAUUCC
This 18936-nucleotide long non-coding RNA is filed under the name Phaseolus vulgaris (common bean). RNAcentral describes it as "long non-coding RNA (PVUL_LNC004302)". The record is from RNAcentral. Lineage: Eukaryota; Viridiplantae; Streptophyta; Magnoliopsida; Fabales; Fabaceae.